RNAcentral lists this ribosomal RNA (427 nucleotides) under uncultured bacterium. RNAcentral's name for it is "bacterial SSU rRNA". It matches the Rfam family "Bacterial small subunit ribosomal RNA", at positions 355 to 774 of the family's 1533-position model. The record is from RNAcentral.
UGGGGAAUUUUGGACAAUGGGCGCAAGCCUGAUCCAGCCAUUCCGCGUGCAGGACGAAGGCCUUCGGGUUGUAAACUGCUUUUGUACGGAACGAGAAGGCUCUGGCUAAUACCUGGGGCUCAUGACGGUACCGUAAGAAGAAGCACCGGCUAACUACGUGCCAGCAGCCGCGGUAAUACGUAGGGUGCAAGCGUUAAUCGGAAUUACUGGGCGUAAAGCGCACGUAGGCGGACUCUUAAGUCGGUGGUGAAAUCCUGGAGCUCAACUCCAGAACUUCCUUCGAUACUGGGAGUCUUGAGUUCGGGAGAGGUGAGUGGAACUGCGAGUGUAGAGGUGAAAUUCGUAGAUAUUCGCAAGAACACCAGUGGCGAAGGCGGCUCACUGGCCCGAUACUGACGCUGAGGUGCGAAAGCGUGGGGAGCAAACA